UUGGGGACGAAGGGUUAGGGGUUAAUAGCCCCGAGCCUGACGGUACCCUUCGAGGAAGCCCCGGCUAACUACGUGCCAGCAGCCGCGGUAAUACGUAGGGGGCGAGCGUUGUCCGGAAUUAUUGGGCGUAAAGAGCGUGUAGGCGGUUCGGUAAGUCUGCCGUGAAAACCCAGGGCUCAACCCUGGGCGUGCGGUGGAUACUGCCGGGCUAGAGGGUGGUAGAGGCGAGUGGAAUUCCCGGUGUAGCGGUGAAAUGCGCAGAUAUCGGGAGGAACACCAGUAGCGAAGGCGGCUCGCUGGGCCAUACCUGACGCUGAGACGCGAAAGCGUGGGGAGCAAACAGGAUUAGAUACCCUGGUAGUCCACGCCGUAAACGAUGAACACUAGGUGUGGGGGGAGUCGAAUCCCUCUGUGCCGCAGCCAACGCGAUAAGUGUUCCGCCUGGGGAGUACGGCCGCAAGGCUAAAACUCAAAAGAAUUGACGGGGGCCCGCACAAGCAGCGGAGCAUGUUCUUUAAUUCGAUGCAACGCGAAGAACCUUACCUGGACUUGACAUGGUGCUGCAAGCGCACGGAAACGUGUGACCUUCGAGGGUGCACCACAGAUGCUGCAUGGCUGUC
RNAcentral lists this ribosomal RNA (620 nucleotides) under uncultured Actinomycetes bacterium. Its description in RNAcentral is "bacterial SSU rRNA". It matches the Rfam family "Bacterial small subunit ribosomal RNA", at positions 430 to 1053 of the family's 1533-position model. Lineage: Bacteria; Bacillati; Actinomycetota; Actinomycetes. The record is from RNAcentral.